AUGGAUAAGCUAAUAAGGGCGCACGGAGGAUGCCUAGGCGCUAGGAGCCGAUGAAGGACGUGGCGAACUACGAAAAUGCCUCGGGGAGCCGUAAGCAGGCUUCGAUCCGAGGAUGUCCGAAUGGGGAAACCCACGCAGAGUAAUAUCUGCGUACCCAUUCCUGAAUACAUAGGGAUUGUGGAGGCAUACCCAGGGAACUGAAACAUCUAAGUACCUGGAGGAAAAGAAAACAAUUGUGAUUCCGUCAGUAGCGGCGAGCGAAUGCGGAACAGCCCAAACCGAUCCCUUCGGGGAUCGGGGUUGUAGGACGUCAACAUGGCAAAAGCAGGUUAGGCGAAGCGGUCUGGAAAGGCCGGCCACAGAAGGUAAAAGCCCUGUAACCGAAAGCUUGCGUAUGCCUAGACGGAUCCUGAGUACGGCGGGGCACGGGAAACCCCGUCGG
Molecule: ribosomal RNA, 442 nt
Filed under: Paenibacillus ginsengarvi
Lineage: Bacteria; Bacillati; Bacillota; Bacilli; Caryophanales; Paenibacillaceae
Description: bacterial LSU rRNA
Rfam family: Bacterial large subunit ribosomal RNA
Source: RNAcentral